Molecule: transfer RNA, 81 nt
Filed under: Pseudomonadota bacterium
Lineage: Bacteria; Pseudomonadati; Pseudomonadota
Also listed under: 1 other name
Description: tRNA-Leu
Rfam family: tRNA
About the family: Transfer RNA (tRNA) molecules are approximately 80 nucleotides in length. Their secondary structure includes four short double-helical elements and three loops (D, anti-codon, and T loops).
Source: RNAcentral
GCGAGGAUGGCGGAAUGGCAGACGCGCUGGACUUAGGAUCCAGUGGGAUUUCCCGUGGGGGUUCAACUCCCCCUCCUCGCA